RNAcentral lists this transfer RNA (72 nucleotides) under Rhacodactylus willihenkeli. Its description in RNAcentral is "Rhacodactylus sp. KGeiss-2023a tRNA-Phe". Lineage: Eukaryota; Metazoa; Chordata; Lepidosauria; Squamata; Diplodactylidae. The record is from RNAcentral.
GUUAUCGUAGCUUACCGUUAUUUUAAAGCACGGCUUUGAAGCAGCCAAGACGGAUCCACAUUCCCGAAAACA